UACUUACCUGGUCUUGACAUCCCGGAGACCCUUAGGAACUAGGGGUGCUUCCAUCUGGAAGAAUCUGGAGACAGGUGCUGCAUGGCUGUCGUCAGCUCGUGUCGUGAGAUGUUGGGUUAAGUCCCGCAACGAGCGCAACCCUUGCCUUUAGUUGCCAGCAGUUCGGCUGGGCACUCUAAAGGGACUGCCGGUGUUAAACCGGAGGAAGGUGGGGAUGACGUCAAGUCCUCAUGGCCUUUAUGACCAGGGCUACACACGUACUACAAUGGCCGAUACAAAGGGCAGCGACACUGCGAGGUGAAGCCAAUCCCGUAAAAUCGGUCUCAGUCCGGAUUGGAGUCUGCAACUCGACUCCAUGAAGUUGGAAUCGCUAGUAAUCGUGGAUCAGCAUGCCACGGUGAAUACGUUCCCGGGCCUU
RNAcentral lists this ribosomal RNA (418 nucleotides) under uncultured Desulfobulbus sp. RNAcentral describes it as "bacterial SSU rRNA". It matches the Rfam family "Bacterial small subunit ribosomal RNA", at positions 966 to 1382 of the family's 1533-position model. Lineage: Bacteria; Pseudomonadati; Thermodesulfobacteriota; Desulfobulbia; Desulfobulbales; Desulfobulbaceae. The record is from RNAcentral.